This 76-nucleotide transfer RNA is filed under the name Candidatus Omnitrophota bacterium. RNAcentral describes it as "Candidatus Omnitrophica bacterium tRNA-Arg". It matches the Rfam family "tRNA". Rfam says of the family: Transfer RNA (tRNA) molecules are approximately 80 nucleotides in length. Their secondary structure includes four short double-helical elements and three loops (D, anti-codon, and T loops). The record is from RNAcentral. Lineage: Bacteria; Pseudomonadati; Candidatus Omnitrophota.
GUCCCCGUAGCUCAGUUGGAUAGAGUACCGGCCUCCGAAGCCGAGAGCGGCAGUUCGAGUCUGCCCGGGGACGCCA